CAUGCGUCCUCCAUCGUCUGGCACCUGCAGCCCACAGGAUCAAGCCUUACUGAUUUGCAUGUCACUUUCUGAAUGAUGAUGCACAGAACAUCCCUCCCUGUCUUUGCACAUACUUUCCCCCACCUCCUGGGAUGUCCUUCCUCCUCUUUGUGAUGUAGCUCAGAAGUACUCAAAGUAUGGUCCCUGGACUAGAGCUUCAGGGUCACCAGGCAACUUAAAAAUGCAAAUUCUUGGUCUCUCCUGUAGACCUACUGAAUCAGAAUCACUGGGCACUGGGAUGAGCAAUCUGUGGUUCGGCAAGCCCUCCAGGUGAGCAUGUUUAAGUUUGAGACCAUCUGGCUGGUGAAAGUUUUAUCAGCCAUGCUCAGGCACCAUCUAUCAGUUUAUGCAUCAUCCCAACUCCUUGCUACACUUUGUAGAAAGAUUGCUUCCUCCAUCAGAUCUCCUCAAAAGGUUCCUAAAGCUCUGAAAACAUUGCAUAGCGCUGAUCACAUUCUGUGGUUGUUAUUGUUAACGGUUUGCAUUUAUGUUCCCACCACUAGGGGACCCUGUCACACUUAAUUAUUGGUCUGCCCCAAUGUCCAGCCAUGGACCUUGAUGAAUGCACUGUACUCUCCAUGGUUUCAGGCAUCCACUGAGGCUUUUGGAAUGCAUCCCCCGUGGAUAAGGGGGAUAAGUGAACAGUCACAACUAACACCUUUUUGACAUCAUCUCUGGAAAGCAGGUAUUAUGACUAUCACCACACUGCAGAGAAAUCUAACUCAGAGAAGUAGAGUGACCUGCUAAUGAGGUGUGGGUCUCAGGAUUCAGACGUCAGAUUCACACUGCUGGAGAUGAAGCACUGCUGUCUACAUACACCACACAGACCCUGAACAUGCACCGACAGCACUCACGCACAACACAUACACACACAGACAACACACAUGGCCACAAAGCCCCUGAAAGAAUGAAGCCCAGGUGUGCAUGCUCUGGAGAUGCCCACGACUCUGGGAGUGCAGCAAUCCCUUUGCCCGCUGGCUUCAUUCCCAGUUAGCUGGUCCUGGUUGCAGGCUCUAAAUGACCCAUGCAGCCUUCUCUCCAUCAGGCAUUGUUAGCCAAUGUUCUGCCUCCUGAAGACACUGUUUGAAACUAGGUCAAGGUCGGAGUCCUCAAUCUGCCACUUGUCCCCUCUGUGGCCCAGCCCACCUCGUUUCCCUUGGAAGGCCCUCAGCUUUCUCACCUGUCAAGUGGGAAAGAUACAGGGCCACAGUCCCUUACUUAAUGCUCUCCAGGCCACAUGGAUCUCAGAAUUCAGAAUGUUUCAGGUUUUAGAAAUGUAAGAAGUACACAUGUGCUGUGUAUUACCUAACAUCCCACUGGGGCAGCGCCUCAAUUAUCAAACACAUUAGUAUUUGCAAAGCAAAAGUAUGACUAUUCACACCAAAUGGCACAAAUAGAUUUGUAUCAUUUCAAACUGACCUUUACCAACAAGUUACGGAAGUGUUUUCAUUUUUUCUGCGCUUCCAGGAAUGUGGAAUUUCAGAGAUAAUGGAAUCACACAUGCGCCAGAGGGUUACUACAAGGACUAAAUACACACAGCGUACAUGCAAAAUACUUUUCCUGGACGUUGUGGGCAGCCAAGAGCUCUUCUUUUCUUCCUCCCCUUUCCAAAUCCUACCCUUUUUUCAGGCCCCUUCCAGACCAUCUUCCUGGGCUUUCCUGUUUGGGAUGCAUCCCGAGUAUGCUCUUCCCAGACACAGGCGCACCUCCCUCACAUCCUCCCAUGUAACUGGGAUCUCCUCCGAUAUUCAGUCAUUGUAUUUGGUCUUACAGUAGUGGAGAUGUGAGAGGGCAUGAUUGUUGGUGAGCUGGUCUGGGUCCUUUCGUUCUUUUAUUUAUUUACCCGCUAGCAAAACCCUGGUCUCGGCCAGGAUUUAGCUCAGUGGUUUCGCCGCGGCCUGCUGCACAAGCACAAGGACUCGAGUUCGAUCCCCGGUACCAAAAAAAAAAUAAGGCCUGGUCUCACCUAAGCCAGGGACCACUUUCCCACAAAGAUGAGUAGGAUCUUGUUCCCAGGAGAAAGCCCACCCAAGCGGUCCUCCCGCGCUGCCACGUGGCUGAGGGAGGUGCACACGAAGCGAUGAACCAGCUCGGCCUAUCUACCAGUCUAGGGAUCGGCCAACUCCCGUCCCUCCAGGGCCUGGCCCUUCUCAGCAGUCACGCACAGCCACGCCAUGGUUUGGAAUCUGUGCCCCUGGAAGGCACCCGAGUGUGGAAGGGCAGCGGCCAGGCGCUCUGGGUCCCUGCGUCAGCCGGCAGAGCACCGUGUGGCUGCUGUGACGAAACUGCACGGUGGAAUGGGAAAGGCCCUGCCCUGAUCUAAGCCGUCAUUAUGUGGGUCCGAUUCUGGCCACAGACGCCACGUGGGUAGUCAGGCCUCUGCUGUUAUUUCGCCCUCAGGGGUGAAAACAUCCAAACAGUGGAAUCUUUUUAUGUUCCUGGCUCCAGUCUCGGAAUGCACAGACUUUGGACUCACCGUUGUUUGUCUCUAUCACCUCCCCAGGCAGAAGGGCCUCCCGAGACGCACAUCUCUCCUUCCUGCGUCCCUGGCUGCCUCACAGCUGGCGUCCUCCCCACCACCCUGGCAGGUGCCUACUGCCUAGACAACUAGGGAGCCGAGGCACCCGCUGGGGCCUGGCCCUCUGGGACAGGCUUUGAUGAGGCGGGCGUCUUCAGAGGAAUGCAGACCUGUCUGCACCCGAAAACCAAAACUGGGGCCAAGGGGCGGGGCCGCGCGGCUGGCAGAGAGGCCCUACCUCAGCAGGGCGGACAUGUUAUCUGGAAAGUGGGCACUGAGGCAGGUCCGGGACUGGAGCCAGCUACACUGCUUUCCCAUGUGCGCAGGCGCGGAUCCCGGAGCACGGGAAAGGGGCCCCGUGGGGCGGAGAGCUGCAGGCUCCCUCUUCUGUGUGCAACGACCGCGCCAGGGGGCGGCUGCUCCACAGAGCCCACGAGCAGCUUUCUCAGGGAUUCUUUGAACCAGCCCCGCGAUGUUCUGAAUCAUCAGAACCAGGUUCUGCUCCCUCGCCGUCGCUACCCACACUGACCUCCCACUGCUGGCCACUCUGCGCCCGUGGCUAAUGAGCUGUUGAAAUGCGCUCCUAAUCGACACCAGCUUUGGGAGAUUUCGUAUUUUAAAAAUAUACCUUCUUAUUUUUUGUCCCCUGGGACAAUAAACCAUAGUAUAAUUGA
This is a non-coding RNA of Heterocephalus glaber (naked mole-rat), 3231 nucleotides long. The record is from RefSeq and is a predicted model, not a curated record. Lineage: Eukaryota; Metazoa; Chordata; Mammalia; Rodentia; Bathyergidae.